AGUUAAUGAGCUUGAAAAGCGUAUAUUUUGAAAAUAUAAGAUAAGAAAAAAUCUUAUUAACUU
Molecule: transfer RNA, 63 nt
Filed under: Staphylinoidea sp. 5 KM-2017
Lineage: Eukaryota; Metazoa; Arthropoda; Insecta; Coleoptera
Description: tRNA-Ser
Source: RNAcentral